This is a long non-coding RNA of Entelurus aequoreus (snake pipefish), 1629 nucleotides long. RefSeq lists it as uncharacterized. The transcript is spliced from 3 exons. The record is from RefSeq and is a predicted model, not a curated record. NCBI's taxonomy places the organism in Eukaryota, Metazoa, Chordata, Actinopteri, Syngnathiformes, Syngnathidae.
CCCUGGGGGUGAUCAAGGGUGAUGGUUCAAAUGCAGAGAAUAAUUUCGCCACACCUAGUGUGUGUGUGUGUGACAAUCAUUGGCACUUUAACUGAACUUUUAAUGAUGUUAUUCAUAUUAUUCAGAUUGAAAAGCUUAAGGGGCCGCAUGUGGCCCCCGGACGUUCAUUUGCCCAGGUCUGUGCUAAGGUGAUCUCUAGAAGUGGUCCACACUCCAUGUCAGUAGGUGGCGGUAAUGCACACCAGAAGGUUGCUUGCCAACCUGCUAUAAAAACAAAAGAAGAAGAAGAAGAUCCACACUUCCGGGUGGUGAUGACGUCGCGUCGUGACGUCAUAUUUCAAAAUGGCAGAGCCCGCGGAAAGACCCCCUGGAGUCGACUCCAUUUCCCAAGAAAAGAUGUCAACAGCGCGACUUGUAACAAUUAUAAGGCCGAGGAGGGUUAUUUGAACACACACCAUUCAAUUAUUAUAAAUGAAAGUCACGUUUUUUAACCGCUCCGGUCUCGUCCCAGCGGAAGUGACGCUAGCACGUCAUCAGAAUACAACAGAUCAACACGACGAGAGAGACAUUCUGCCGCUAGACAAAGGUCACCGAGCAGCGACGAAGUUUGCAUUUUCGGUAGAGGUCCAGGGAGCCACGAGGGCGGUGCUAAAGAGACGCGGGUUGCUGACCCCCGGCCUACACCCUGGACUGGCCGCCAGUUCAUCACAGGACACAUGAACAAGCCUUCGCCCUCAAAUCAGAGAAGUAUUCAUUUACUCUAACAUGAUUUUUAUUCAGUUCAAUGCAUUUAUUGUCAUUGUCAUAGUGAAUAACACACACACUGCAUAGUAACCAUGUAUCAAAAAUGCGUUAGGUGGUGCAAUCCUGACCCAUGAAACGCGUAAACACAAAGGGUGCCACGAACGAUGCACAAAAUUCACAGUCUGGUAUGGAUCGGUACUUGAGCGGCGCCGUUCCAUACAUUUUUUCAAUACCCAAAAGAGGGAAAUGUUCAUGCCUUUUUUUUAACUUGUAGUUUAUUGAAAUUGUCGUUGUCCACGACAGAAAACGGUCGGCAAGGCGAGUUUAUUUACAGAGCACAGUUCGUACUACAGGCAGGCCAGUCUAGUACCCGCACUCUUUUACUACGAAGCCACGCUGUUGUAACACGUGCAGAAUGUGGCUCGGCGAUAUCUUACUGAAAUAAGCAGGGGCGGCCAUGAAAAAGACGUCGCUUGGAUGGCAACUUUUGUUGCUCCAAAACCUGUAUGUACCUUUCAGCAUUAAUGGUGCCUUCACAAACGUGUAAGUUACCCACUAAUACACCCCCAUAUCAUCAAUCUUUAUUGCAGACCUUAAGAUCCAUUUAAACAUAUAAAAACAGAAUAUAAUACAUUAAAAAACAAAACAAUAAAAACAUACAUUAAAAACAAAACAAAACAAGUUUUCCAUACAAUUACAGACGCUGGGUUUUCAACUUUGCGCCUAGAACAAUCCGGAUGGUUCUUUUCCUCUUUGGACCGGAGGACACGACGUCCACAGUUUCCAAAAACAAUUUGAAAUGUGGACUUGUCAGACCACAGAACACUUUUCCAGUUUGCAUCAGUACAUCUUAGAUGAGCUCGGGCCGAGCGAAGCCGGCGGCGU